Long non-coding RNA from Rosa rugosa (rugosa rose), 2677 nucleotides. RefSeq lists it as uncharacterized. The transcript is spliced from 9 exons. NCBI's taxonomy places the organism in Eukaryota, Viridiplantae, Streptophyta, Magnoliopsida, Rosales, Rosaceae. The record is from RefSeq and is a predicted model, not a curated record.
GCGUGGGAUGAGCCUCCAGUUAGGCUGGUUCCAAACUCCGUUUCAAAAAAAAAUUUUCCUCAAUUACGGGAAGUUCGAUUAAUGAUUAAUGAGAAGUUCGAUUGCUGGUAUCUCCGUCUCAACCCAGUAGAAGACACCGCAAUCUGAGAGCUCGAUGAUUGAUUGGACGGGGUUCAAGUAUCGUUCGAAAGCCUUCUUCAUUAUUCAUUUUGGGAAACUUUCAAACUUUCGAUUUUGUGAGAGGUUAAGCUCCAGAGUGAGAGACAGAGAGGGAGGGGACUUUUCCCUGCCAUUCAGAAAAGGAGGAGGAAGAAGAAGAAGAAGAUUUGCUGAGGGGAAGUCUAGAGAGGAGGAAGGGAUGUCUUGGUCGAUUUCAGUCUGUUCCCAAUUUGGGAAUUUCCGUUUCACAUUCAAAGUUUCAGUCUUUAAAGAGGUGAACUGCAGAACGUUAUCAGGUAAAAGAGAUGGGAAUCGAGGUUGUGUAAGAGGAAGAAGAGAAAAUGAGUAGCCAACACAACACCUCAGAUCCUUCUUACGAUCCAGAUGUUGAUGUCAUUGGCACAGAGUUUACAGGUCUUGAAAUGGGUUUACAGGUCUUUUCAUUCUGUUUCAGUUUUUAUAUCUAUGUAUGAUCAUGAACUAAAACUAGAUCCGCUAAUUAUAUUUGUGCACUAUACUAUAGCUUGCUUGCUUCAAUUUUGGACUGGUUGGGAUUUAGGCGGAAUCGGAACGAGGCAGGUCUGUCUUUAUUGUGAUCUGACUGUUCAUACUUCAUAGUGACCUCUGAGAAGAAUUAACUAUCAUAGUAAAGGCGUAGUUCAGCACCUUUAUUUCGGAAGGAACCCACCCAUGUUCACAGAGAUGAGACUUCUCCGCCAGCCUAUUGGUGAUGACCAUUUGGGCUGUUCACUCAGGAUUGGAAAAGACUCUUUUGCCCUUCGUUUUCGGUUUAGUUACGGUUUUGUUGUUGAUGUGUGAAUAAGUGAUGAGAGGAGAGAGAAACAGCUGUUGCCGUGCAAAUCAGAAGGAAGUGGUUGUGAUAGAAAGGGAUAGAAACUGAUUGUGAUAGCGAAGGAUUGAUAUAGAUCGGGCUGUUGGAGUAGAGAGGAGAGGAGGGAAUUAAGAUUUUGAUAGAGUUUGGGAGGAGAGAUCUAAAAUUUUGAUCGGCUUUGGGAGCUGGGUUUGCGUUUAUUUCGGAAGAGGUGUGUGCCAAGAUUUUGAUUGAGUUUGGGAGACAGGUUUCGGCAACAGAAGAGUGAUAUGAAAAUUGAUUAAAGCAAAAAGGGGCGGUUAUCUGAGUUUCCAAAUUGUAAUUAUAGUGGCCACUUUGGGUGUUCUCCACAUGCCUUGAUCGAGCCAAAGAAGACCUUAGCAUCAGGGAAAUUGUUAAAUCUCUCCAUGGACUAUGUUGCCUAUUCGAACAUUAUAAUCAUGCUUCAGCAAGCAGUUCAUUCCUCCUCCAUUUUUUUUCUUCAACAUUAAUUAUGUAUUCAAUUUAACACAGAUUCCGUGUUUGAUUAUGUUCUAGCAAAACGUGUGUGUAUAUAUAUAUAUAUAUAUAUAUAUAUAUCAUAGGAAGAAAUGGUCUACUGCAGCGCUUCAAUCUGUAGAUUCGCAACACACAAUGGUUGGUGGUAUAGAGCAUGCCCAAGCUGUUACAAACAGCUAAAAGAAAAGGAAAACAGCAAUGAAUUUGUUUGUGUGCAGCAUGGCAUACAAACAGCUCUUCCAUGAUUUGCUUAUCUGUUGUGAAUAGUGAAUAGUUUUAAACCUGGCUUUCAAUUUCAGUCAUCUACACUUGAUGAACAACCUGAGUUACAGAGUCUAUAUGACCAUUGAGGAUGCUGAUAAUCAAGCAACAGUUAUGCUGAUGGGAAGACAAGCAGAACAAUUCUUUGGCAGCAGCUGUCAAGACUUAGUGAACAAGAGAUCAUAUCCAACAGAAAAAACACUGCCAGAAGAGAUAGCAAAGACAAUAGGCCAGGACCAACCUUUUUCAAAUCAAAGUGAAUCUCGAUGGUGAACUCAUAGUGAAAGCUAUCUUCUUCCCAAAUGGACAACCUUCUGGACCACCAACACAAGAAAACCCAACAACUGCAACUCCAGACCAUCCUCCUUCUGAGAGAAAAAGAGCCAUUGAAACAAGCGGAAGAGAAUUAUUCAUCUCUGAACCAGACAAAAAAGUCUAGAGUGAGAGGCAAACCAGACAUGGAACAACAUCAUCAUCAUCAGCACCAUCUUUAGCAAGCAAAGUACAAGCUCGCAAACAGAAAAACGACUAAACGUAAAUAGCCAGUUUAUGUAACUAUAACUUUUGCUACACUAACCUAUUUUGUGUAGCUGCAACAACAACAGCAACAACUGCUCUUUUUGUAUAGAUAGAAUGAAGCAGUUGACUGAAGUAUUUUGUAUCACUACAACAGAAGCAACCACUGUUUUUUGAAUGAACUCCAGCAUCUAACACAGCUGCAACCGAAGCAAUCAGCUAGAGGAUUUUGGGAGCAAUGACCUUUUUGAACAAGCUCCAGCAACAACCUUUGCUAGAUUAGCUUAUAACCCUUAUAUAAAACUAGCAUUUUUGUACCAGCUCCAGUUGAACAAGCUUCAACUAGAAUGUAAUAUGUAUAAUUGUAUAAACAUUGUUUGACUACAAUAAUAUGUAACAAUGUUCCUUUUC